This 221-nucleotide ribosomal RNA is filed under the name uncultured bacterium. RNAcentral's name for it is "partial 16S ribosomal RNA". It matches the Rfam family "Bacterial small subunit ribosomal RNA", at positions 109 to 334 of the family's 1533-position model. The record is from RNAcentral.
AGUAAUGUCUGGGAAACUGCCUGAUGGAGGGGGAUAACUACUGGAAACGGUAGCUAAUACCGCAUAACGUCGCAAGACCAAAGUGGGGGACCUUCGGGCCUCAUGCCAUCAGAUGUGCCCAGAUGGGAUUAGCUAGUAGGUGGGGUAACGGCUCACCUAGGCGACGAUCCCUAGCUGGUCUGAGAGGAUGACCAGCCACACUGGAACUGAGACACGGCCAG